This is a non-coding RNA of Drosophila kikkawai, 5321 nucleotides long. Lineage: Eukaryota; Metazoa; Arthropoda; Insecta; Diptera; Drosophilidae. The record is from RefSeq and is a predicted model, not a curated record.
ACAAAAGUAACGUCACGUACCGCCGCGGCCGGAAAACGGAAAAUAAACGUAAAGACUGAACGCGGAUUCGAGGCAAAAUAAACGGAAAAUAAAUGAAGCCAGAUUUCCCGCUUCCAGCUGUUUUUAAUUUUCAUAAAAGUAACCAGAUUUGACUGGAAAUAAACCUGCGAGAUCCUUGUUCAGGGUACUUUUAGUGAAUUCGAAAGUGAAAAAGCGGAAAAUCGCUGACUAAAACCUAAAUGAAUACUAGUGAAUAUAUGUGUGAAAAGUGCAAGAAAAUCAAAGCGAAGAUCCAUCGGUGAUUAAGCCAAGAAGCCAUUCGCUGACUAAACAGUUUCCAGUGAGGGAUUAGGUCCGAGCAGCCGAAGUUUUCCGAAGUCGUGGCAAAGCGAACGCCUGCGAGUCUGUUUAUUUAACACACUUCCUCGUGGCGAAAGCCUUCAGUUCGUGUCUGCUGCUCGCGAAGUGCGCGUGAACAGGGGAAACGGAUACGGAAACGGUAACGAAAGCGGAAACGAGAACCUGAACGAAAAUUCGAAGCUCGAAACGAGACAGUGAGUGCGUGUCUGUGUGAUGGAAAGAUCGCUGCAUCCGGAAGAUCGCCAUGCCCAGCUCAAGUUUGCUCAACUAGUGAAUUAACGAAAACAACUCAAUCAGCCUUUGAAAAAAGAAAAGAAGCGACAACCUGUGUGUGACUCAGACUGCUCUUUAAGAAACAGAAUUAAGCCAAGACUUUACCUUGGAUUAGGCAGCAUGUGUGCCACGGGGAGGAACCACCGGCUCCUCAAUCGCCUCAGCAGCCUGAGCGCCCUGCUCCUCGUCCUUGGUGCGCAAUUCAUUCGCGUGGAGUUUGCCCGGGCGGAUUACGAGAACACCUGGAAUUUGUAUUACGAGCCGCCCUGCUGCACGGGCUCCGCCGCCGGCCAUCACCUGCGCCACCACAAAGAUCAUGUCAAGGACUUCAGCUGUGGCCCGCUGCACUACAAGACCUUCUACAUGGAUGAGCGCAAUAAUGCACUCUAUGUGGGCGCUAUGGAUCGCAUCUUUCGGCUCAAUCUGCGCAACAUCAGCCAAUCGAUUUGCGAGCGCGAUGUACUCAUCCUGGAGCCCACCGGCUCGGAUAUCCUUAACUGUGUGUCCAAGGGCAAGCGGGAGAAGGUGGAGUGCCGCAAUCACAUAAGGGUUAUCCAACCGAUGAACUUCAAUGGCCAGAAGCUAUAUGUUUGCGGGACCAACGCCCACAAUCCCAAGGAUUAUGUUAUAAAUGCAAACUUAACACAUUUACCCAGAUCCCAGUACGUGCCCGGCAUCGGCCUGGGCAUUGGCAAGUGUCCCUACGAUCCCGCUGACAACUCAACCGCCGUCUAUGUGGAGAACGGAAAUCCCUUCGGUUUGCCCGCCCUGUACGCCGGCACGAAUGCAGAGUUCACCAAAGCGGAUUCCGUCAUAUUUCGCUCGGACCUCUACAAUCUGACAAAUGGACGCAAGGAGGCCAACUUCAAGAGAACCGUCAAAUAUGACUCCAAGCUGCUGGACAAACCCAACUUUGUUGGCUCUUUCGAGAUCGGCGAGUUUGUCUACUUCUUUUUCCGGGAACAUGCCGUGGAGUAUAUAAACUGCGGCAAGGCUGUUUAUUCUCGUGUGGCCAGAGUCUGCAAAAACGAUCGUGGCGGCAAAUAUAUGAUCAGCCAGAAUUGGGCCACGUAUCUUAAGGCUCGCAUGAACUGCAGCAUUUCCAGCGAGUUUCCCUUCUACUUCAACGAGAUACAAUCGGUGUACAAGAUGCCCACGGAUGAUACCAAGUUCUAUGCCACGUUUACAACGAAUACGAAUGGACUGAUUGGAUCGGCAGUGUGUAGCUACGAUAUAGGGGAUAUAAAUGCGGCCUUUGAUGGCAAAUUCAAGGAGCAGGCCACCUCAAACAGCGCUUGGCUGCCCGUGCUGAACUCCAAAGUGCCGGAGCCACGUCCGGGAACUUGCCACAACGACACCGCCACGCUGCCGGACUCCGUGUUGAAUUUCAUCCGCAAACAUCCGCUAAUGGACAAGGCGGUCGAUCAUGAAUUUGGCAAUCCGGUCUUCUUCAAGCGGGACGUCAUCCUCACCAAGCUGGUGGUGGACAAGAUACGGAUCGACAAGCUGAACCAGGAGUUCCUCGUGUACUUUGUGGCCACAACCUCGGGCCACAUCUACAAGAUAGUGCAGUUUAUGCACUAUGGCCAGCGGCACUCCAACCUGGUGGACAUCUUCGAGGCCUCGCCACACAACGAGCCAAUUCGGGAGCUGACCUUGAGCCACAAGACGGGCUCCCUAUACCUGGCCACCGAUCACCAGGUUAAGCAGAUCGACAUGGCCAUGUGUGCCCGUCGCUAUGACAGCUGCUUCCGCUGCGUCGCGGAUCCGUACUGCGGCUGGGACAAGGAGGUGAAGGCCUGUCGACCAUACCAGCUGGGUCUGCUCCAGGAUGUGGCCAACGAGACGUCGGGCAUCUGCGACACGAGUGUGCUGAAGAAGAAGGUAACCUCCUCCUACGGCCAGACCCUGCAUCUGUCGUGCUUCGUCAAGAUGCCGGAAGUGCUGAGGAAGAAGCAGACCCGCUGGUACCAUCACUCUACGGAAAAGGGACGCUACGAGGUACGCUACACGCCCACCAAGUACAUCGAGACGAACGAGGGCGGACUGGUGCUCCUGGCGGUGAACGAGGGCGACGGCGGCCGGUAUGACAGCUACUUGGAUGGCACCCUGCUCUGCAGCUACGGCGUCACCGUGGAUGCCCACAGAUGCUCGCCGCCGUCGCAGAAGCAGGACUACCAGAAAAUCUACUCGCACUGGUGCAAUGAGUUCGAGAAAUACAAAUCGGCCAUGAAGCAGUGGCAGGCCAAACAGGAGCAAUGCGGCCUCAAGGAUAAGGCAGGACCAAUCAGCAGCAGCAACGACGGCAAGCACGUGAACGAUGUGUUCAGCAACGAUGCCUUGGUCUGACCCAGAACGUACUUGUACAGCUUUGAGUUUCUGUCGUCGUCGUCGUCGUCGGAGGGCGUGGCCACCGCCCACCGCAAAUUGUACAUUUUCGUGUUCGUGCUUACCAUAUUUGCUCGCUUCUAAAGUUUCUAGUUAAAAUGUAAAUGCGCAGAGGAGCAAAACCAAACAGAGUGAGCACCCAAGAAAUCUGUGUGGAAAAUGUGACAAGUACCGACGAAAAAAACUUAAAGGAAAAGGAAAAAACAAAAAAAAAAGAAGGAAAAACCACUACAAAGACUGAAAUUUUUAAGCUUUUAAAAUCGACAAUAUUUCCAAUAAUUUCGAUGCGUUUUUUUUUUGUCAUUGUUUCGUUUCGUUUUUGAGAUGUUGUCAGCGUCUAACUGAAUGAUUUUCGACAUAUUAACUAAACUGAUAUACAAAGAUGGAGUAAACGAGAAAAGUUACUAGCAAAAGGAUCCUGCCAUAAGUCAAAUGGAAAUUACGGUUUUACACUCACACAGAAAACACUCACGACACUAUUUCUACUUCGAGCUAAGGUUAAGGAUAAUCUAAUCUAACAGAUACAGAUACAGAAACAGAAACAGAUACAGAAACAGAUACAGAUACAGACACAGAUGGAACUGCAACCACCUAAGCGAGAAUCUGACCCAAGGCAAAAAGUAUUAACGAACAUGUACGAGAGUAGCUCACAGCUGAUGAGGCGCAACGAUUUGAUUUUGAUUUCGAUUUAGUUCGGUUUCCGAGAACUCGUUCGGGCUCUUGGGGUUGGGAAGAUCUUAAACGAAUUUGUAUAUUACUUAGCAAUAUUUGUUCGACUAAACUAGCGUAAGACACACCCAAACACCCAAACACACACACACACACAACUAGCUGCCCCUGUUUAGGUCAUAGACAAGUACGGAUACGGAACCAACUUAAAACGAUAGCCAAAACAAACCGGAAAUAGGGAGAAACAUUGGACGCACAGUACAUAUACAUAGAUGUAUGUAUAAUCUGAACGCUAUGAACUAUAGCUUAAGACGAUUUGUAAAUAGGAGGGCUUUAGUCGAUAAGUGAAUCAGCAUUCAUUUAGUUUUUUACUCGGCUCCGAUUUUGAUUUGGAAUUCUCGAUUCGGCAUUAACUCGCUCUUGUAUAGACGGUGCGUUGGCCUAAUGUUUACGAUAAGCAAUACAUAGUUACAUAUAUAUAUAUAUGAUAUGCGUAUGCGUAAUAUAAAGACAUAUAGUUAUAGAUACAUGAAGUUACUGCAUUGAGACCAACAUGCUCAUGAUUACACUUACCCGAACGUAGCCUAGGUAAGUUGGUGUGGCAAAUAGAUACGUGUUUUAUUAAAUACUGCCGAAACUCCAUUCACGCACAUACCCGGAAAAUCCAUUGAAACUGCCGUAAGAUAUAGAAACAAAUAAAUCUUGGAAAAACUAAGCGCUUCACCGAACACGAAACCAAAAUAGGUAUUUUGCAGCCGAAAUGUUUAAAUAAAAGAAAAUCCCCAAAUCGUAAGCAUUACUCUCUCACCUCACGCACACACCACACACUCGAAAUAUUUUUCUACAAGUUUUCUCGGCGAAAUUUUUAAUGUUUUCAUCUUAGGAUUUACCCAACAAAACGAAAAACAAAAAAAUAAGAAAGCAAACAUUUUAGCAUUGCAUACGGGCAUUGCCAUUGUACAUGAACUAAACCAAAACCACAGGAGAAAAACUAUUCGAAAGUAUAUUUAAAAGCUACUAAUGCUCUGAGCUUCUAACUUUAAUGAAUGAAAAAUGUUUUUGCGUUGCCUUCAGUAGAGUUUUUUUCGUUCGAAUAUUUAUUGUAAAUAAUUUAAAGAUUAUGUGAAAUGUUUUGUAUGACAAUCACAUGAUGUUGAGUAAAAGAAAAAAUAAACAAAUAGACGCAAAACCAGAGAGGAAAAACAAAUGAAAACUCGGAAAAAACACGCAGAAAAAAUGAAUCGAAUUGCCAUUGCGGCAAUUAGAGAUGAAAAUUAAUAUUAAUUGAGUACUUAACGAACAAUUCAUUGUAAAAAUAUUAAUACAAGGUAAAUAAAUAUUCGCGGUAAAUAUAAAUAUAUAUAUAUACAUAAAUAGAUAAACGACUUUUACAAAGUAUUCAUACAAUAAAAGAAAAUUUGCGCUUACAAAUAAUUCGAAUUCGCCCAAUUAAAGGUUCCAUUCGAACAAUUUCAAACGCAGAUUGGUCUACGAGCUAUCGAAAUAUUUCCGGAAAACAACAAAAUCAGAAAAAAAAAAACAGAAAGAAAGUAAGAAAACAAAUUAGGUGUAAACACAUAAAAGUAAAAUGCAGUAAAUAAAUGUGAUAAGAUUCUUUAAUAAGCAAAAAA